This 762-nucleotide ribosomal RNA is filed under the name uncultured bacterium. RNAcentral's name for it is "bacterial SSU rRNA". It matches the Rfam family "Bacterial small subunit ribosomal RNA", at positions 8 to 760 of the family's 1533-position model. The record is from RNAcentral.
AGAGUUUGAUCAUGGCUCAGGACGAACGCUGGCGGCGUGCCUAAUACAUGCAAGUCGAGCGGAUCUAUCCUUCGGGGUAGGUUAGCGGCGGACGGGUGAGUAACACGUAGGCAACCUGCCUGUAAGAUCGGGAUAACUAUCGGAAACGAUAGCUAAGACCGGAUAGCUGGUUCUCUCGCAUGAGAGGAUCAUGAAACACGGAGCAAUCUGUGGCUUACAGAUGGGCCUGCGGCGCAUUAGCUAGUUGGUGAGGUAACGGCUCACCAAGGCGACGAUGCGUAGCCGACCUGAGAGGGUGAUCGGCCACACUGGGACUGAGACACGGCCCAGACUCCUACGGGAGGCAGCAGUAGGGAAUCUUCCGCAAUGGACGCAAGUCUGACGGAGCAACGCCGCGUGAGUGAUGAAGGUUUUCGGAUCGUAAAGCUCUGUUGCCAGGGAAGAACGCCAAGGAGAGUAACUGCUCUUUGGGUGACGGUACCUGAGAAGAAAGCCCCGGCUAACUACGUGCCAGCAGCCGCGGUAAUACGUAGGGGGCAAGCGUUGUCCGGAAUUAUUGGGCGUAAAGCGCGCGCAGGCGGUGAUUUAAGUUUGGUGUUUAAUCCCGGGGCUCAACCCCGGGUCGCACUGAAAACUGGGUCACUUGAGUGCGGGAGAGGAAAGUGGAAUUCCACGUGUAGCGGUGAAAUGCGUAGAGAUGUGGAGGAACACCAGUGGCGAAGGCGACUUUCUGGACCGUAACUGACGCUGAGGCGCGAAAGC